Molecule: small RNA, 147 nt
Filed under: Rickettsia prowazekii
Lineage: Bacteria; Pseudomonadati; Pseudomonadota; Alphaproteobacteria; Rickettsiales; Rickettsiaceae
Description: partial sR29 non-coding RNA
Source: RNAcentral
AUUUUAUAUAUUAAUAUUGUUGAUUAUAGAGAUUACUACAAAAUUUAUUAUUUUUUAUUACAUAAUACUGUUUAUCAAACAUUGCUAGAAAAUUACAUAGCAAUUUACUAAUCAAUUAAGUAAAAAAUUCUGAUUUUCAGAUUUUAU